AGGUUGCCCAGUACACCUUGAACAUGUUGAAGAGGCGUGUGCCCCCUGCCGUUCCUGGAAUCAUGGUAAUUUUAAAUACUUCUGACCUAUCCUUGGAUUCUGCUAUACCUUGACUUCUGCCUUCAAGUGUGAGACUACCGAUUGCUUGAAACGAUACGUCAUGCAUAGAGGAACUCUAAUCUGUUUCAACUUGCUUGUGCAGUUCUUGUCUGGUGGACAAUCUGAGGUCGAAGCAACUUUGAACUUGAAUGCCAUGAACCAGAGCCCCAACCCAUGGCACGUGUCUUUCUCAUACGCCCGUGCCCUUCAGAACUCUGUCUUGAAGACAUGGAAGGGACAGCCAGAGAAUGUGGAGGCUGCCCAGAGGGCACUCCUUGUGCGUGCUAAGGCUAACUCUUUGGCUCAGUUGGGUAAGUACUCCGCUGAGGGCGAGGCUGAGGAAGCCAAGCAGGGAAUGUUUGUCAAGGGCUACACCUACUAAGCAGAUUCGGACAAACCCACCUUGAUUUUGUAGUAUGUAGAAAUGAGGCAUGUGUACCUGCCUGUAGAUCAUUAUUAGUUGUCUCAUGUUGCAAGAACCUGAUAAGUCAUCUACUCGAUUAGUGUUUUUCCUGUACGAUCCGUCGACUAUUUAAUCUAAACUUACGAGUGGAGAAUUUUAACAAAAUCUUGCAACUGAGUUUUUCCCCGAGCCUAUCGUACACUUGCUUUGCAUUUGCGUGGUCUCAUGUUUCUCAGCUUUCUUCCUGUUCAAUGGUAAUUUGGACUGAGCAUUUUCGAAAUUAAGUAGGACUGAUGUUUCAUGAGGUACCUAAUCUUUUGUUGUCCGAGUACACUUCGAAUCUAUGACGUUGAUAUACAUUGUAUGACCAUCCUAGCAUAACUACUUAUGGCCUGAAGUAGAAAGACAAGAAUGUAAUGAUGAGAAUGGUUACAAU
RNAcentral lists this long non-coding RNA (938 nucleotides) under Physcomitrium patens. RNAcentral's name for it is "long non-coding RNA (PPAT_LNC012224)". Lineage: Eukaryota; Viridiplantae; Streptophyta; Bryopsida; Funariales; Funariaceae. The record is from RNAcentral.